Molecule: ribosomal RNA, 904 nt
Filed under: Pinnularia borealis complex sp.
Lineage: Eukaryota; Bacillariophyta; Bacillariophyceae; Sellaphorales; Pinnulariaceae
Description: partial 28S ribosomal RNA
Rfam family: Eukaryotic large subunit ribosomal RNA
Source: RNAcentral
UAUUAUUAAGCGGAGGAAAAGAAACUAACAAAGAUUGACAUAGUAAGGGCGACUGAACUGUCACAAGCUCAGCAUGUGAAUCAGUGCUUAUUUCAAUAAGCACUGAAUUGUGGUCUUUCAAUUAUUGCAGCACUUUGACCAGAUGAUGUUUUUUGGAAUAAAAUAGCAAAGAGGGUGAAACUCCUGUUUGUCUGGUCACACGACGCAAUAAUUACUGAGUCGAGUUGUUUGGGAUUGCAGCUCAAAUGCGGUGGUAAAUUCCAUCUCAAGCUAAAUAUUGGUGGGAGACCGAUAGCGUACAAGUACCGUGAGGGAAAGAUGCAAAGAACUUUGAAAAGAGAGUGAAAGAGUACCUGAAAUUGCUGAAAAGGAAGCGAACGAACCUAGUGAAAGCCACGUCAUACUUUCCAAAUUGCUUGCAACUUGGACGCUGUGACUAGCCAAGUACGACUCAAUUGCAACAUGUGAAAACAGGUCAAGACAAGAUCCAUUGUCUUUGGCUUUUGGCACAGAAUGAAAUUCGGUUGUACAAAAUAGAUUUGUUUGCCCCGUCUAGAAACACGGACCAAGGAGUCUAACAUAUGUGCAAGUACUGGGGUUGCAUACCUCGGUGCACAAUGAAAGUGUCAGAGGCUGGAAUGAAAAAGCACAGUCCGCCGGCCUCAAUCCCUUGGGAAAAUGGUCUGAGUGUGAGCAUACAUGUUGGGACCCGAAAGAUGGUGAACUAUGCUUGAGUAGGGUGAAGCCAGGGGAAACUUUGGUGAAGGCUCGCAGCGAUUCUGACGUGCAAAUCGAUCGUCAAAUUUGAGUAUAGGGGCGAAAGACUAAUCGAACUAUCUAGUAGCUGGUUCCCUCCGAAAUUUCCCUUAGGAUAGCUGCAAUCUAUAUAUAGCCAGUUUUGUCA